This 1300-nucleotide long non-coding RNA is filed under the name Nicotiana benthamiana. RNAcentral describes it as "long non-coding RNA (NBEN_LNC039417)". The record is from RNAcentral. Lineage: Eukaryota; Viridiplantae; Streptophyta; Magnoliopsida; Solanales; Solanaceae.
ACCAAUCACAAAGCAACAAUCAAAACAGGGUGUGAAACCAAACGUAAGCUAGCACGUAAUAGCAGUUUGGAUUAAGUAAGAAUAAAGGGAGAAAUGAACUUUAAGCUGAAUCGAAACAAACUUUAAUGUCGAAUUAAUGAAAUAGCUUCUUGCAAGUUUAAGCAGCAUCAAUGUUGUUAAUGAAUGAAACAGGAAUUAAAAUUCGACAAUAGCACUUCAAAUCUACAGCAGAAAUGCGAAUCUGCCCCAAAACCUUGAACCUGACACCAACUCCUGACUAAAACUCCUUGAGUUAAAACUAAAUGUUGAAAUCGAAAGAGGAGAUUGAAACGUAUUAUUUUUUUUGAAUUCAAACGCCAACUGCCUUAAACCUUUGAAAACAUUAUCCUUUCAUUUGUUUGUGUUCAUCCUUGAAAUUGUGAAGAAAAGUAGACGUAAAAUUAGAAGAGUAAUCAAAGUCUAUCUAAAAUUCUUCUCCAUUUUUGUUGUUUUUUCCGUGACCCCCUUCUCUUUUCUAUCUCAUUUUUUUCAAUUGCAGGUGCGGUUGCUGUUGAACGAUGACGGGGCUGGUUGGUCGACUGGUUGAUAUUCACAGGCGGUGGACUGGUGAGGCUGGAGAUGACUGGAGGAAGGUCGUCUUUGGUGGUGGGUGGAACAAUGACCGUGGUUUUGAGAUUUUGGGCGUUGGUUUGGUUGGAGAGGAGUAGGGGUUGUUGGUUGGUGUUGAAGGAGUCGCCGGUGUGUAGGUUGCUGGCUGGCGGGCGGCGCUGGUUUUGUGCAGAACGGUUGGAGGGGUUCAAGAUGAUGAUGGAGCAAUGACCGUGGUUUUGAGAUUUUGGGCGUUGGUUUGGUUGGAGAGGAGUAGGGGUUGUUGGUUGGUGUUGAAGGAGUCGCCGGUGUGUAGGUUGCUGGCUGGCGGGCGGCGCUGGUUUUGUGCAGAACGGUUGGAGGUGUUCAAGAUGAUGAUGGAGAACAGCUGUUAUGUCUGUAAGAGAUGAGGUGUGGGAUUGAGCGGUCAAUGGUGUCUGGUCGGGGUGUGGUCGGCGGAGAUGAAUGGAGAUGGAGAAGCAAGGGUCGACUCGUUGGAGUUUCUUUGAAUAGAGAUAGGGUCGCUGGUGGAGUGGACGGCUACUGUCGGCUGCUCCUUCUCCUAGAGUUCUAGGAUUUUUUUUUGAUAAUGUAUAGGUUAAUAUGUUUAGACCCCUUGGAGAAGACGAAGACUUAGGGUUUUUAUGGGUUUAGGGUGUUGGUUCUAAUUUGGGCUAAAAAAAAUUCUAUAAAAUUGGACUAAGAAAAAACU